UGGGGGAUGGUCUAAUGGUAAGGCAGCGGACUCUGACUCCGCCUAUCGGGGUUCGAAUCCCUGUCCCCCAGCCA
Molecule: transfer RNA, 74 nt
Filed under: Desulforhopalus sp.
Lineage: Bacteria; Pseudomonadati; Thermodesulfobacteriota; Desulfobulbia; Desulfobulbales; Desulfocapsaceae
Description: tRNA-Gln
Rfam family: tRNA
About the family: Transfer RNA (tRNA) molecules are approximately 80 nucleotides in length.
Source: RNAcentral